CAUCCCUUAUGCUCUGGGAGCCACAGCCUUGACAGAAGCUCCUGCCCCAGCCCUUUCUUUAUCCUCCCCCCUUCCAAGCCCUGUAUCCCCAUCUUCUGCCCCCCCAACACUCGCCCCCAGUCCCAGCACCGAGAGACCGGUGAUGGCCGUGCCCCGGAAAGCCCUGCCUGGAGGACCUCGUUGGCAGCCUCCAGCUCUGGGGACUUCAGCCUCCCGGGCACGGAGGCGGAGCAAGGAGCCGGCAGCUGCCGCCCCGAGCCCAGCUGGGGACCCGGGGAGCCCGCAGGGCUGGACCGAAACCCCCGGAUCCUUCCACCGGCCCCAGCGCCACGGCGGGGUCUCGGUCCCGGCCAACGGGGGUUGCUCUGUACACACCGUACGUGUGCUCAGGUAACACCGCAGCAGCGGCGGCUCCGUUACCGCCCGCAGCCCCGCCGAGAGCCGCGCCCGGUGCCGCAGCCCCAUUGCCCUGCGCCCGCCACCACCUCCCUGUGCUCCAGCACCGCUUGGGACCCGCCCCCGGACCCGCUCGGCGCUGCCCCUGCCCCUGUCCUGGGACACCGCCGCUCCCGGCCCGCGGGGCGGCAGCACCGGCACCGGCAGCACCGCCAGGCCCCGCGGCCUCCGCUCCGGUCUGGUACCGCCCGCCCAGCCAAUCACAGGCCCGCCAGAGCGCGCCCGUCUACACUGCACCCAAUCGCGCCCCGCCUUUUCAAUCCGGUCCCGCCCCUCCCGUCUCCACUCAACCCAAUUCCCGGCCCUUGUCCGCUCCGUCCAAUCCCGGCCCGCCCGUUCAGUCCAGCCCCUCCACUCCAUUCCCCACAGGCCCCGAUGCCGCCGCUCCGCGGAGCCGCAGGGGUGCGAGUUGGGCCCCGGUGCCGCCGAGCGGGCGCUCUGCAGCGGGGCCGCUCCUGGCUCCCGUUCAAGCCCCAGAGCCGGGGCCGCAGCGGGUGCAGGACCGACCACCCCCACCUCCAGGAGCGGCGGAGCCGCCACCGGGUCCUG
Molecule: long non-coding RNA, 1005 nt
Filed under: Melopsittacus undulatus (budgerigar)
Lineage: Eukaryota; Metazoa; Chordata; Aves; Psittaciformes; Psittaculidae
Description: lncRNA (ENSMUNG00000018244.1)
Source: RNAcentral